RNAcentral lists this ribosomal RNA (425 nucleotides) under uncultured bacterium. RNAcentral describes it as "partial 16S ribosomal RNA". It matches the Rfam family "Bacterial small subunit ribosomal RNA", at positions 354 to 796 of the family's 1533-position model. The record is from RNAcentral.
GUGGGGAAUCUUGCGCAAUGGGCGAAAGCCUGACGCAGCAACGCCGCGUGCGGGAUGAAGGCCUUCGGGUUGUAAACCGCUUUCAGCAGGGACGAAAAUGACGGUACCUGCAGAAGAAGCUCCGGCUAACUACGUGCCAGCAGCCGCGGUAAUACGUAGGGAGCAAGCGUUGUCCGGAUUUAUUGGGCGUAAAGAGCUCGUAGGCGGUUUCGUAAGUCGAGUGUGAAAAAUCUGGGCUUAACCCAGUGGAGCACUCGAUACUGCGAUGACUUGAGUCUGGGAGAGGAGUGGGGAAUUCCGGGUGUAGCGGUGAAAUGCGCAGAUAUCAGGAGGAACACCAACGGCGAAGGCAGCACUCUGGGCCAGUACUGACGCUGAGGAGCGAAAGCGUGGGGAGCAAACAGGAUUAGAUACCCUAGUAGUCC